This 19-nucleotide ribosomal RNA is filed under the name Comolia villosa. RNAcentral's name for it is "partial 18S ribosomal RNA". The record is from RNAcentral. Lineage: Eukaryota; Viridiplantae; Streptophyta; Magnoliopsida; Myrtales; Melastomataceae.
UACCUGGUUGAACCCGGCC